Molecule: ribosomal RNA, 106 nt
Filed under: uncultured bacterium
Lineage: Bacteria
Description: partial 16S ribosomal RNA
Rfam family: Bacterial small subunit ribosomal RNA
Source: RNAcentral
ACGGCGGGNGGACGGCCCACCGUGGCGACGAUGCGUAGGGGUUCUGAGAGGAAGGUCCCCCACACUGGUACUGAGACACGGACCAGACUCCUACGGGAGGCAGCAG